This 333-nucleotide unclassified non-coding RNA is filed under the name Zea mays. RNAcentral describes it as "misc RNA Zm00001eb094470". Lineage: Eukaryota; Viridiplantae; Streptophyta; Magnoliopsida; Poales; Poaceae. The record is from RNAcentral.
CGCGCUCCCCCACGAUAGCCGCCAUGCACCCUAUCUCUGUCAUGCAUGUGCCUCCUCCCCCGCCCGCACGAGACCCGCCACGCUCCCUCUACGCGCCUGCCUCCUCCUCGGCCCGGAUCCCGCCGCCAGCGCCUGAUAUGGAGAUGAAGGCGUCGGCCUCCGAUGAAACCCUAGCUGCCGUCUUGGACCACCUCAAGCCCCACACCGUCGGCACCUUCCUCCCCCCUCGCUGCACCGGCCCUCAAUCUGCAUCUGCGAUAGGUACCCCUCUGCCCCAGAUUGUCGCCCCCGCCCUCGAUUCGCGUCCGCGUUGUGGCGUCUGCAGUCUCCAUG